GGAUGAUUUAGAUGUGACUUCUGUCACCACACUUAUUGUUAGGAGUGAUCUGGCUUGGUAGGCAGGUAUCACUCCACUGGGUCCCUCUUAAAGCUAUGUGUUCAAAGACGGUGACCUUCCACAAUAAAAGAGCACUGGUCUUCAGUCAAGACUAUACGAGUAGCUGUGCUUUCCUGCUAGAACCUCCAAAUAAGCUCUCAAAUAUACAAGUAAGUGAAAAGUAAAAGGGUGGAAAAAAAUGUCAGCC
RNAcentral lists this small nuclear RNA (247 nucleotides) under Nannospalax galili (Upper Galilee mountains blind mole rat). RNAcentral's name for it is "7SK RNA (ENSNGAG00000002433.1)". It matches the Rfam family "7SK RNA". Rfam says of the family: 7SK was discovered as an abundant small nuclear RNA in the mid-70s but a possible function has only recently been suggested. Two independent studies have found that 7SK RNA binds the CDK9/cyclin T complex (known as elongation factor P-TEFb). P-TEFb activates transcription by phosphorylating the C-terminal domain of RNA polymerase II. The record is from RNAcentral. Lineage: Eukaryota; Metazoa; Chordata; Mammalia; Rodentia; Spalacidae.